Non-coding RNA from Anisakis simplex (herring worm), 47 nucleotides. The record is from Rfam. NCBI's taxonomy places the organism in Eukaryota, Metazoa, Nematoda, Chromadorea, Rhabditida, Anisakidae.
GCAGCGAUGUCCGAGUGGUUAAGGAGUUUGACUCGAAAUCAAAUGGG